This 227-nucleotide ribosomal RNA is filed under the name uncultured bacterium. Its description in RNAcentral is "partial 16S ribosomal RNA". It matches the Rfam family "Bacterial small subunit ribosomal RNA", at positions 109 to 334 of the family's 1533-position model. The record is from RNAcentral.
AGUAACGCGUGAGGAACCUGCCUCAAAGAGGGGGACAACAGUUGGAAACGACUGCUAAUACCGCAUAAGCCCACGGCUCGGCAUCGAGCAGAGGGAAAAGGAGUGAUCCGCUUUGAGAUGGCCUCGCGUCCGAUUAGCUGGUUGGUGAGGUAACGGCCCACCAAGGCGAUGAUCGGUAGCCGGACUGAGAGGUUGAACGGCCACAUUGGGACUGAGACACGGCCCAG